CGGUGGAGGUGAAUCAGAGGUGGUCAGGGUUCAGAGGUGACAGAGGAGAGGUCAGGGUUCAGAGGUGACAGAGGAGAGGUCAGGGUUCAGAGGUGACAGAGAGGAGGUGGUCAGGGUUCAGAGGUGACAGAGAGGUGGUCAGGGUUCAGAGGUGACGGUCAGGGUUCAGAGGUGACAGAGGAGAGGUCAGGGUUCAGAGGUGACAGAGAGGUGGUGGUCAGGGUUCAGAGGUGACAGAGAGGUGGUGGUCAGGGUUCAGAGGUGACAGAGAGGUGGUGGUCAGGGUUCAGAGGUGACAGAGAGGUGGUGGUCAGGGUUCAGAGGUGACAGAGGAGAGGUCAGGGUUCAGAGGUGACAGAGGAGAGGUCAGGGUUCAGAGGUGACAGGAGAUCAGGGGGUCAUUCAGGGAGUAUUCAGACCCCUUCCCUUUUUCCACAUGUUGCCUUAUUCUAAAAUGGAUUUAAA
Molecule: long non-coding RNA, 465 nt
Organism: Oncorhynchus keta (chum salmon)
Lineage: Eukaryota; Metazoa; Chordata; Actinopteri; Salmoniformes; Salmonidae
Exons: 4
Source: RefSeq, a predicted model, not a curated record